UUCGCGGCUGGCGAUCGGCUUCUCGUAACGGGCCGCUUCGCGUGCGGCCUGAGGGUCGACCGUCGGCGCGCCGCCGGCGCCGCGAGGC
Molecule: transfer RNA, 88 nt
Filed under: Cognatilysobacter xinjiangensis
Lineage: Bacteria; Pseudomonadati; Pseudomonadota; Gammaproteobacteria; Lysobacterales; Lysobacteraceae
Description: Lysobacter xinjiangensis tRNA-Ala
Source: RNAcentral